This is a long non-coding RNA of Gasterosteus aculeatus aculeatus (three-spined stickleback), 857 nucleotides long. The record is from Ensembl. NCBI's taxonomy places the organism in Eukaryota, Metazoa, Chordata, Actinopteri, Perciformes, Gasterosteidae.
UUGGGAUGAAACUGAAAUCAAAAAAGGAGAGAAGGCAGAAAAACAACAACUCCCACAUAGCCAGCGCUUGCAAAACAACAAACAAGUGACAUUUAGCAUGACGGCUUUAUUGAAAAUCUUUCUUUCAAAGAUCUCUGUUCUCUAAACACGUGCACAGUGUUGUAUAUCAUAAAUCCUGGUUACUGUGGAGACUGUAAAGCCUGAUCGCGUUCAACACAUCAGUCCCGUUAUGUGGGGUUGUGACCAGUGGAAGAAAUCUGACAGCAAACUAUAAAUCAAAAGCUACUUCACAGGUACCUGCAUGCAGCUGUCUGCCGUUCAGCCCUUGAACAUCAAGCAAACCCAAGUCUACUUAUUUAGGAGCCAAAGGAACAGCUGGUUCCAGACGCUGCAAGGGUUAAAGCGACUGUUGCCCGCAGUGGACUUCUUUUUAUUCCUCCCUCAGUGAUUCUCCAAAACAAGCAGCAUCAAAGCGCUACCUUUUAAUUGCAUCGCUUUCAAGGCUGCAAACCCCAAAAUGUUGCUGCUGGUGAUUGGAUGUGUGAAGCCUUGAUGUCCAUGGCAGCUUCUCUCUACAUCGUGGCAUUAUCAAGAUGAGAAGUGUACGACGCCAUGAACCGCCUAUUGGAAUGGAAUAACAAGGGAGACAGACCUGCAACCCCAUCAACCACGUUAUAUUAAAAAAGAAUGCGUGAACACCGUGCACUCGGUACUAUUUAUAUUGCCUUUGAUCGCCCCCCCCACCCCACCCACACACAGACUCACGCUUAUUUAAUAGAAAACUUCUGGAGUGGAUUUGCUGUGUGAGAGGAAACCGUUUAAUGAAAAAGAACAACAGCGCCCCCCCCCCCCCUCCC